Molecule: unclassified non-coding RNA, 411 nt
Filed under: Leptopilina victoriae
Lineage: Eukaryota; Metazoa; Arthropoda; Insecta; Hymenoptera; Figitidae
Description: partial ITS1
Source: RNAcentral
UGUCUAUUUUAUUGUAGACAURAGAUAUUUUUCUUUUUUGAACGAGCCAAACAAAAAUUAAUUUUUUUGACUUUGGUGUACUUUUUAAAAAGGUGUCUGCCGUGGUAACCUUGUAAAGGAGCAGUAUUGCCAUUAUGAGUCGUAUCUUGUAUAAAAUAACAAGUACGCCUUUGUGCUUAUUAAUGCUGUUCCGUGGUUUUUCAAUGAAUUUUCGCCCGGCGCCUUAAAUGGCAUCUUUAUGCUAGCGUUACGCGCGUUUGGUAUAAAUAUUGUAGAAAAAUUAAGUUUUUUCUUUAUUUAAUAUCCAGGCGUUAGCGUAUCAGCCGGCCGGUGCAUUUGUUGUUUGAAAUUUUAUGUUUCUUACUGACAUUAAUGCACCAAACCGCUUUGAAGCAAAACAUUUUUAAAAUU